Molecule: ribosomal RNA, 254 nt
Filed under: uncultured bacterium
Lineage: Bacteria
Description: partial 16S ribosomal RNA
Rfam family: Bacterial small subunit ribosomal RNA
Source: RNAcentral
GCGGACGGGUGAGUAAUGUCUGGGAAACUGCCUGAUGGAGGGGGAUAACUACUGGAAACGGUAGCUAAUACCGCAUAACGUCGCAAGACCAAAGAGGGGGACCCUCGGGCCUCUUGCCAUCGGAUGUGCCCAGAUGGGAUUAGCUUGUUGGUGGGGUAACGGCUCACCAAGGCGACGAUCCCUAGCUGGUCUGAGAGGAUGACCAGCCACACUGGAACUGAGACACGGUCCAGACUCCUACGGGAGGCAGCAUG